This is a long non-coding RNA of Pseudoliparis swirei, 1389 nucleotides long. RefSeq lists it as uncharacterized. The record is from RefSeq and is a predicted model, not a curated record. The transcript has 2 exons. NCBI's taxonomy places the organism in Eukaryota, Metazoa, Chordata, Actinopteri, Perciformes, Liparidae.
UAUUACAUACAAUUCUUUUUAUAUAUACUGUAUAAUUGAAAUACGAAGACAAAAGAUAGUAUGUUGGCCUAUUGUUCUGACGACUAUUAUUUAUUACUGUGGUGAGAAGAAACAAGACAUGUUUUUUAAAAGUAAAAACAAUGUGAACAAGGUUGCUAUGUGGAAUUGUGUUAAGCAAUCGAGGGUUAAAGGGUUUAAGCCUCUGGUUUCCUUCAGUGUCGGUUUUUUCUUCUGCCAGAAGCCUAAAAGGCCUUUGUUUGUCCAUGGAGCAUGCUUUCUCUUAAAUUAAAUAAGGUGAUUGAACAAGUGCCUGGGGUUUUCCUUGAAGGCAAGCGUUUUUUUACAUAUCAAAUAAUUAGAAGAUUGUUUUACUAGCCGUGAUCCUACUUUACCUUAUUCCUAAUCCACCACCUGAGCUGCUGCUGUUCACUGUGGCCGAAGAAGGAAAGUUAGAGCUUCUGACAUGUAAACAGUGUGACUUAAAGUCUAUAAUGUAAAGACAACGUAGGAAACGUGUGUUAUUGUAUUCUCAAUUUGUCCAUAUAGCAUGCUUAUCAUUAUUUAAACAAUAGGGUGAAUAAAUAAUCUAACACCAAAAGAAAAUCACUUAAAAUAAACUAAAACAUUUUAAAGACUGAGAAAAUAAUUCAUGUUAUUUGGUGGAACUGGUUCUCUGUGUGAUAUCGUUGAGUCAGUCAAUUCAAUAUUUUCUGUGCGUAUCUUUUUCUCAUCCCUCUCCACCUCCUGAGUCAUCUGCCUCCAGACACAUCCAGAGUUACCUUGGCAACAUAGAAGAAACAGGACGAGCUGGAGAGCAGACACGAGAGGAACUCAACGUCCUUCCAGAGCGGGAGAGAAGUGCUCAUCAGUGGAACAAGUGUCAUGGCCGCUCACCUGCCUGCAAUCAACUCAUGGCCUCCAGCAGACCGACGCCCGGCUCUCCAACUCGGUGCCCGAGGGCCUCAACUGCUGUGGAAAUCAGCUGCUUCUGGCGUCUCUACUCUCUUGGUUUUUCGGUGAUGUGAUGAACUGACAUUCUCCAUAUUUCUUGUUUUCGAUGUCAUCGGGCAUUUGCUGGGGCCCGAAGAAAACACGAAAGAGCCGAAAGCCCGAAGGAGCCACUGAGCACACUUUGUCACCUUUGGUGUUGCAUUCAAUAAAACACUCACGCCUCGAAAAGGGGCACCUUUGUAUUGUGAGCUUUACUUUAACUUCAGUGGUGUCGAGUUAAUGUGGCGAAUAGGUUUUUAAACUGUGAAUCGCUCGCAGCUGUUGUAAAAAAUGCCGACAGUUGCUAUAAUGACGCUUAAAACUCUUCCUGCACACACAGUCAUCUGGAUGACUUUGUAGAGCAAAGAAUAGAUCUUCAAAUAAAAAAUUUAAAAAGUG